RNAcentral lists this RNase P RNA (426 nucleotides) under Brucella thiophenivorans. Its description in RNAcentral is "Ochrobactrum thiophenivorans RNase P RNA component class A". It matches the Rfam family "Bacterial RNase P class A". Rfam says of the family: Ribonuclease P (RNase P) is a ubiquitous endoribonuclease, found in archaea, bacteria and eukarya as well as chloroplasts and mitochondria. Lineage: Bacteria; Pseudomonadati; Pseudomonadota; Alphaproteobacteria; Hyphomicrobiales; Brucellaceae. The record is from RNAcentral. RNAcentral also lists the same sequence under 6 other names.
UCAGUCGGUCGGGCAGCCGCGCUUGUCAUAUGCCGAAAGGCGGCAGGUGAGGAAAGUCCGGGCUCCAUGGAAAUACGGUGCCGGGUAACGCCCGGCGGGGGUGACCCCAGGGAUAGUGCCACAGAAAGUAGACCGCCCCGUCUUCCGUACCGCUUUCAAGAAGCGGCAGGGAUGACGGGGUAAGGGUGAAAGGGUGGGGUAAGAGCCCACCGCGCCGGUGGCAACACAGGCGGCACGGUAAACCCCACUGGGAGCAAAACCGAAUAGGGACGGCGCAUCAGCCCGAAAGAGCUGAUAAUCAAUUUCCGGAUCAGCCGUCCGGGUGGGUUGCAAGAGGUGGGUGGCGACAUCCGUCCCAGAUGAAUGGCUGCCACGUUGGACGCAAGUCCGGCCAUACAGAACCCGGCUUACAGACCGACUGACAUU